GACGAACGCUGGCGGCGUGCUUAACACAUGCAAGUCGAACGGAAAGGCCCUGCUUUUGUGGGGUUCUCGGGUGGCGAACGCGGGCGUAACACGUGAGUAACCUGCCCUAGACUUUGGGAUAACUUCAGGAAAGUGAGGCUACUCCCGGAUAGGAGCUCCUGUUGCGUUGUGAGGGUUGGAACGUUGCGGCUGUAGGGGAUGGACUAGCGGCUUAUGAGCUUGUUGGUGGGGUAGUGGCUUACCAAGCAUUUGACGGAUCGGCGGCCCGAGAGGGUGACCGGCCACAAUGGGACUGCGAGACGGAGCAGUCUCCUAUGGUAGGCAGUAGGGGGGAACAUGGCCCAAUGGGCGGACGUGUGAGGCAGCAGCGUUGCGUUCGGGAAGACGGCUUGCGGGGUGUAAACCGCUGUCGCCUGUUACGAAGCUGGAGUGACGGUAACGGGAGAAGAAGCACCGGCUAACUACGUG
RNAcentral lists this ribosomal RNA (468 nucleotides) under uncultured bacterium. RNAcentral's name for it is "partial 16S ribosomal RNA". It matches the Rfam family "Bacterial small subunit ribosomal RNA", at positions 28 to 507 of the family's 1533-position model. The record is from RNAcentral.